AUUGAACGCUGGCGGCAUGCUUUACACAUGCAAGUCGAACGGUAACAGGGUGCUUGCACCGCUGACGAGUGGCGAACGGGUGGGUAAUGCGUCGGAACGUGCCGAGUAGUGGGGGAUAACGCAGCGAAAGUUGUGCUAAUACCGCAUACGUACUGAGGUAGAAAGUGGGGGACCUUCGGGCCUCACGCUAUUCGAGCGGCCGACGUCUGAUUAGCUAGUAGGUGAGGUAAAGGCUCACCUAGGCGACGAUCAGUAGCGGGUCUGAGAGGAUGAUCCGCCACACUGGGACUGAGACACGGCCAAGACUCCUACGGGAGGCAGCAGUGGGGAAUUUUGGACAAUGGGCAAAAGCCUGAUCCAGCCAUGCCGCGUGUCUGAAGAAGGCCUUCGGGUUGUAAAGGACUUUUGUCAGGGAGGAAAUCCCUAGUGCUAAUAACACUGGGGGAUGACAGUACCUGAAGAAUAAGCACCGGCUAACUACGUGCCAGCAGCCGCCGUAA
Molecule: ribosomal RNA, 500 nt
Filed under: uncultured bacterium
Lineage: Bacteria
Description: partial 16S ribosomal RNA
Rfam family: Bacterial small subunit ribosomal RNA
Source: RNAcentral